Molecule: ribosomal RNA, 502 nt
Filed under: uncultured bacterium
Lineage: Bacteria
Description: partial 16S ribosomal RNA
Rfam family: Bacterial small subunit ribosomal RNA
Source: RNAcentral
AUUGAACGCUGGCGGCAGGCUUAACACAUGCAAGUCGAGCGGGGUGAUGGUGCUUGCACUAUCACUAGCGGCGGACGGGUGAGUAAUGCUUAGGAAUCUGCCUAUUAGUGGGGGACAACAUCUCGAAAGGGAUGCUAAUACCGCAUACGUCCUACGGGAGAAAGCAGGGGAUCACUUGUGACCUUGCGCUAAUAGAUGAGCCUAAGUCGGAUUAGCUAGUUGGUGGGGUAAAGGCCUACCAAGGCGACGAUCUGUAGCGGGUCUGAGAGGAUGAUCCGCCACACUGGGACUGAGACACGGCCCAGACUCCUGCGGGAGGCAGCAGUGGGGAAUAUUGGGCAAUGGGGGGAACCCUGAUCAAGCCAUGCCGCGUGUGUGAAGAAGGCCUUAUGGUUGUAAAGCACUUUAAGCGAGGAGGAGGCUCUUUUGGUUAAUACCCAAGAUGAGUGGACGUUACUCGCAGAAUAAGCACCGGCUAACUCUGUGCCAGCCGCCGCAGUAA